AGCUUUGCACAGUGGCAGUGUCAUAGCCAAUGAAGUUUAUCCGAGGUGCAAUUAUUGCUAAUUGAAAAUUUACAUUGCAAAUAACUGAUCCCAAUUACAAAUCUUCAGUAGAAG
Molecule: small nuclear RNA, 114 nt
Organism: Neogale vison (American mink)
Lineage: Eukaryota; Metazoa; Chordata; Mammalia; Carnivora; Mustelidae
Gene: U4
Rfam family: U4 spliceosomal RNA
About the family: U4 small nuclear RNA (U4 snRNA) is a component of the major U2-dependent spliceosome. The structure of U4 snRNA from yeast and human has been reported. U4 snRNA presents a k-turn RNA motif in the 5p-SL related to recognition of Snu13 protein.
Source: Ensembl